UACAGAGGUCUCAAGCGUUGUUCGGAUUCAUUGGGCGUAAAGGGUGCGUAGGUGGCGUGGUAAGUCGGGUGUGAAAUUUCGGAGCUUAACUCCGAAACUGCAUUCGAUACUGCCGUGCUUGAGGACCGGAGAGGAGACUGGAAUUUACGGUGUAGCAGUGAAAUGCGUAGAGAUCGUAAGGAAGACCAGUGGCGAAGGCGGGUCUCUGGACAGUUCCUGACACUGAGGCACGAAGGCCAGGGGAGCAAACGGG
Molecule: ribosomal RNA, 253 nt
Filed under: uncultured bacterium
Lineage: Bacteria
Description: partial 16S ribosomal RNA
Rfam family: Bacterial small subunit ribosomal RNA
Source: RNAcentral